Molecule: ribosomal RNA, 248 nt
Filed under: uncultured Actinomycetales bacterium
Lineage: Bacteria; Bacillati; Actinomycetota; Actinomycetes; Actinomycetales
Description: partial 16S ribosomal RNA
Rfam family: Bacterial small subunit ribosomal RNA
Source: RNAcentral
GGGUGCUCGAGUGGCGAACGGGUGAGUAACACGUGGGUAACCUGCCCUUGACUUUGGGAUAACUUCAGGAAACUGGGGCUAAUACCGGAUAGGAGCUCCCGCUGCAUGGUGGGGGUUGGAAAGUUUCGGCGGUUGGGGAUGGACUCGCGGCUUAUCAGCUUGUUGGUGGGGUAGUGGCUUACCAAGGCUUUGACGGGUAGCCGGCCUGAGAGGGUGACCGGCCACAUUGGGACUGAGAUACGGCCCAG